GCUGGGUGAGGUGGCUCAUGUCUAUAAUCUCAGCAGCUUGGGAGGCUGAGGCAGGAGGAUCUCAAGUUCAAAGCCAACCUCAGCAAUGGUGAGGCACUGAGCAACUCAGUGAGACCCUGCCUCUA
RNAcentral lists this small RNA (125 nucleotides) under Marmota monax (woodchuck). Lineage: Eukaryota; Metazoa; Chordata; Mammalia; Rodentia; Sciuridae. The record is from RNAcentral.